This 247-nucleotide ribosomal RNA is filed under the name uncultured Actinomycetes bacterium. RNAcentral describes it as "uncultured actinobacterium partial 16S ribosomal RNA". It matches the Rfam family "Bacterial small subunit ribosomal RNA", at positions 28 to 276 of the family's 1533-position model. Lineage: Bacteria; Bacillati; Actinomycetota; Actinomycetes. The record is from RNAcentral.
GACGAACGCUGGCGGCGUGCUUAACACAUGCAAGUCGAGCGGUAAGGCCCUUUCGGGGUACGACGAGCGGCGAACGGGUGAGUAACACGUGGGUGACCUGCCCUCAGCUCUGGGAUAAGCCUGGGAAGCCGGGUCUAAUACUGGAUAUGACUCCAUGACGCAUGUUGUGGGGUGGAAAGCCUUGUGCGGCUGAGGAUGGGCCCGCGGCCUGUCAGCUUGUUGGUGGGGUGAUGGCCUACCAAGGCGA